CCAGCAGCCGCGGUAAUUCCAGCUCCAAUAGCGUAUAUUAAAGUUGUUGCAGUUAAAAAGCUCGUAGUUGGAUUUCUGGCGGGAGUGACCGUUCCGGGCUUGAUUGUCCGUGCAACGUGUCUUCUCCAGCCAUCCUCGCGGAGAACGUUGAUGCCAUUAACUUGGUGUGAACGGGACCCGCGUCGUUUACUGUGAAAAAAUUAGAGUGUUUAAAGCAGGCAAUCGGCUUGAAUACAUUAGCAUGGAAUAAUAAGAUAGGACUUUGGUACUAUUUUGUUGGUUUGCAUACCAAAGUAAUGAUUAAUAGGAACAGUUGUGGAUAUUCGUAUGAGCAUGUCAGAGGUGAAAUUCUUGGAUUUUGAUCAGACGAACGACUGCGAAAGCAUUUAU
Molecule: ribosomal RNA, 390 nt
Filed under: uncultured eukaryote
Lineage: Eukaryota
Description: SSU rRNA
Rfam family: Eukaryotic small subunit ribosomal RNA
Source: RNAcentral